Long non-coding RNA from Anguilla anguilla (European eel), 548 nucleotides. RefSeq lists it as uncharacterized. NCBI's taxonomy places the organism in Eukaryota, Metazoa, Chordata, Actinopteri, Anguilliformes, Anguillidae. The record is from RefSeq and is a predicted model, not a curated record. The transcript is spliced from 3 exons.
CAGUAUAUAAGGAGGGCCCUGUCCGCGACGCACUCCAUUAUUGGACCACUCACACACGCUCACUCAGGGAGUCAUCGAGUCAUCAGUAUGCUGAAGAUCUCCAUCUGUCUGGCCCUCCUGCUGUAUGGCAUCAUGCCGCAUCACGCCGACGGCCAUCCAAGGGCAGUCGCAGCCGCAACCGACGGCCCCGAAAGCUGCUGUUUCAACUUUUUUAAAAGCAGAAUUCCCAUCGCCAACAUUGUGACCAUCACGAAAAUUUACUCUGGCUGUCCUCAUCAAGGAUUUAUUGUUCAGACCGUCAAAGAAAAAUCAUUUUGCGUGGAUGCAGAAUAUUUCAAAUGAAGACAGCUCAAAACUGAAGUUUCCAUCAGAGGGCGCCUCAGUGUCAUCGGGGUUAUAGCCAAAAAUCUUCUCAUCUGUUCGUCAGUGAAGUUUGUUUUAUACGCUUGAGAGCAUAGCGAAUCCUGUCUUUGCUUAUUCGUGAAUUGAAUUUGUAACAAUUUAUUACAAUAGGUGUGAAACGAGAAAAGAAAGAGUCAGCCUUAUGU